RNAcentral lists this ribosomal RNA (207 nucleotides) under uncultured bacterium. Its description in RNAcentral is "partial 16S ribosomal RNA". It matches the Rfam family "Bacterial small subunit ribosomal RNA", at positions 568 to 774 of the family's 1533-position model. The record is from RNAcentral.
AGCGCAGACGGUUUAUUAAGUCUGAUGUGAAAGGCAUGGGUUCAACCUGUGGACUGCAUUGGAAACUGUCAUACUUGAGUGCCGGAGGGGUAAGCGGAAUUCCUAGUGUAGCGGUGAAAUGCGCAGAUAUUAGGAGGAACACCAGUGGCGAAGGCGGCUUACUGGACGGUAACUGACGUUGAGGCUCGAAAGCGUGGGGAGCAAACA